RNAcentral lists this ribosomal RNA (321 nucleotides) under Klebsiella pneumoniae. RNAcentral's name for it is "bacterial SSU rRNA". It matches the Rfam family "Bacterial small subunit ribosomal RNA", at positions 450 to 770 of the family's 1533-position model. The record is from RNAcentral. Lineage: Bacteria; Pseudomonadati; Pseudomonadota; Gammaproteobacteria; Enterobacterales; Enterobacteriaceae. RNAcentral also lists the same sequence under 1 other name.
AGGUUAAUAACCUCAUCGAUUGACGUUACCCGCAGAAGAAGCACCGGCUAACUCCGUGCCAGCAGCCGCGGUAAUACGGAGGGUGCAAGCGUUAAUCGGAAUUACUGGGCGUAAAGCGCACGCAGGCGGUCUGUCAAGUCGGAUGUGAAAUCCCCGGGCUUAACCUGGGAACUGCAUUCGAAACUGGCAGGCUAGAGUCUUGUAGAGGGGGGUAGAAUUCCAGGUGUAGCGGUGAAAUGCGUAGAGAUCUGGAGGAAUACCGGUGGCGAAGGCGGCCCCCUGGACAAAGACUGACGCUCAGGUGCGAAAGCGUGGGGAGCA